This 420-nucleotide ribosomal RNA is filed under the name uncultured bacterium. Its description in RNAcentral is "bacterial SSU rRNA". It matches the Rfam family "Bacterial small subunit ribosomal RNA", at positions 355 to 774 of the family's 1533-position model. The record is from RNAcentral.
UAAGGAAUAUUGCUCAAUGGGAGAAAUCCUGAAGCAGCAACGCCGCGUGGAGGAUGAAGGGUCUAUGACUUGUAAACUCCUGUAAAGAAGGAAAAAAUUCCCAUUUGAUGGGAGAUGAUGGUACUUCUGGAGUAAGCCCCGGCUAACUACGUGCCAGCAGCCGCGGUAAUACGUAGGGGGCAAGCGUUGUCCGGAUUUACUGGGUGUAAAGGGUGCUCAGGCGGAUUUGUAAGUCAGAGGUGAAAUCUUACAGCUUAACUGUGAAACUGCCUUUGAUGCUGCAAGCCUAGAGUAUGGAAGAGAGUGAUGGAAUAUCUGGUGUAGCAGUGAAAUGCGUAGAUAUCAGAUAGAACACCAAUGGCGAAGGCAGUCACUUGGUCCAUUACUGACGCUAAAGCACGAAAGCGUGGGUAGCAAACA